CCUACGGGUGGCAGCAGUGGGGAAUAUUGGGCAAUGGGCGCAAGCCUGACCCAGCAACGCCGCGUGAAGGAAGAAGGCUUUCGGGUUGUAAACUUCUUUUCUCAGGGACGAAGCAAGUGACGGUACCUGAGGACUAAGCCACGGCUAACUACGUGCCAGCAGCCGCGGUAAUACGUAGGUGGCAAGCGUUAUCCGGAUUUACUGGGUGUAAAGGGCGUUUAGGCGGGGACGCAAGUCAGAUGUGAAAACCACGGGCUCAACCUGUGGCCUGCAUUGGAAACUGUGUUUCUUGAGUACUGGGGAGGCAGACGGAAUUCCUGGUGUAGCGGUGAAAUGCGUAGAUAUUAGGAGGAACACCAGUGGCGAAGGCGGUCUGCUGGACAGCAACUGACGCUGAGGCGCGAAAGCGUGGGGAGCAAACAGGGUUAGAUACCCUUGUAGUC
Molecule: ribosomal RNA, 443 nt
Filed under: uncultured bacterium
Lineage: Bacteria
Description: partial 16S ribosomal RNA
Rfam family: Bacterial small subunit ribosomal RNA
Source: RNAcentral